This 759-nucleotide ribosomal RNA is filed under the name Triticum aestivum (bread wheat). Its description in RNAcentral is "partial small subunit ribosomal RNA". The record is from RNAcentral. Lineage: Eukaryota; Viridiplantae; Streptophyta; Magnoliopsida; Poales; Poaceae.
AUGAUUUAUAGUUUCACCCUUGACCUGAUGAACUCAUGUUGUAUGUCUUUACCUAACUGGCCAUCGGUUUGUCUUUGUUCACGCAGUUUCACUUUCGUGAUUCCUGUCUGGAAGGAAGGGUCUGUAGGAGAUCGGAUGGUAUAUGGAAGCCUUUUGGCUUUCGUAAACAACGUGAUGUGGGCAAUGUAUGCCGCCUCCGACUCUCUCGAGAGUAAACUUUACUUCUUCAUCGUCAAUGGAGUGGGCUUGGUCUUUCAGAUUUGCUACAACAUCCUCUACAUAUACUAUGCGGAAGGGAAGAAGAGCAUUCAAGCCUUCAUCCUUUUAUUGGCAUCCUACGUGGUCGCCCUUGUAAUGGCAGCCUUAGUGCCUUGGAUGGUGAUGACACAAAGGUGGAGUAGUACUUGGGUCGGUGUCCUUGCCGCAUCAUUUGGAGUAUCCAUACAUAUUGCUUCUGCAUGGGACAUGCUGAUGGUGAUCAAGAGAAAGGAGCAGAUCAUCUACAUAGACCGAAUAAUCACGGUAUCCUUCUCCCUCGCCGCUGCAUGUAUUUGGACCGUCUACGGUUUCAAAUCCGCGACCGUCAACUUAUAUGUCCUGGUACCGAAUCUCGUGGGCAUUCUGUGUACCGCUGUGCAAAUCUGUGUGUACGCCUACUUGAUACUAUCCCGCAAGAUCCGCAUCUACUCCUUCCAAACUGAUGACGCAGUGGACUAUGGCUACGAGAUGGGAAAGCUCUUCGCGUUGCCUCCAGUGUAG